Long non-coding RNA from Cavia porcellus (domestic guinea pig), 1674 nucleotides. RefSeq lists it as uncharacterized. The transcript is spliced from 2 exons. The record is from RefSeq and is a predicted model, not a curated record. Lineage: Eukaryota; Metazoa; Chordata; Mammalia; Rodentia; Caviidae.
GAAACAAAACAGUGUGCACUUCUGGCGGGCUCCUGGCUCCUGGCUCCAGGCUCGGAGGAGGGAGCCUGCCAUCGUUGUGGACAGCAGAGGCUGAUUCACUGAAGUACAGUUUAAUCUGCUUUGUAGAAGUGAUGGAUUCAGACCAAGAUGGCUGACACAGUAUCACAAUGACUUAACCAACCAGAAACAAAUCACUGCUGGAAGUGACACCAUCCUCCUUGGCAGGCAUGGUCACCAACUGGGCUGUGUGCCAUAUGGACACCGAGGGCUGGGGCACUGCUGAAGCAUUAGCUUCUUGGCUGAACCUAAGCCUUCAAUAAAGCUUUGCUUCCCGCACCCCCAUCUGUAUGUAAGCAUCCUGGAGGCGCUGGAGAGAAAGCCCACAGUAGCACACUAACAGGCCCUUGAGGAUGCCUGCCUGUAGGCUGAAUGUGCAACCUGCUCGCUGCCUUCCAUGGCAAGGGUUUGUACAGGGAUGUUCAAGUUAAGGCUCUUGCAAUGGGGAGAUUAUCCAGGAUUAUCAAAGUGAGCUUGAUGUGAUGACAAAGAUCCUCAAACAUGGAACAGGGAGAGCAGGGAGGCAGAAAGAUCAGUGUUAUCAUGCAGCAGUCGAGAUAGACUGGCUUUGGAGAAGGCGGAAGAAAGCAGGGGCCAAGAGGUUCUAGCAGCCUCUAGAAGCUGGGAAGGGCAAGAGAAUGCAUUUUAAAAUUUUAAUUGUAUUUAUUUAUUUAUUUUAAAGAGAACAAAACAAAUCAAAACAGAACAAUGCAAGCAAUGCAAGACUUCAAGAAAAGACCACAGGAAAUCAACGAUGGCUAUCAUAAUGUCCCUUUUUUUCUUCGAAAUAGCUGUCUAUACCUUCACACACAAUAAAUUUUUAAAAACACCAAAAUGGAAUAAAACCAAUCAAAAGAAUAAAAGCAUUAUGAGAUUUCAAAACAAGGUAGUGGGAAAUGAACAAUGGCUACUAUAACAUCUCAAAAUAGCUGCCCAUGCCACCACCCAUAAUAAAAUCAAAACGAAACAAAAUAAAAACAAUCAAAACAAAAGAAUAAAAAAAUUAGAGCACUUCAAAACUAGAUGACAGGAAAUAACAAUGGCUGCCAUAAUGUCUUGUUUUCUUUAAAAUAGCUGUCCAUGCCAUCACCCAUAAUAAGAUCAAACAAUAAAGAGAACAAAUUUUAAUGGAGGGCUUCAGAAAGGACCACAGUCCUGCCAGCGCCUUGAUUUCAGCAGCAUGAGACCCAUUUGGACUCACUUUUAAACUGUAGCACGUUGUAUCUGUGUGGUGUGAAGUCUGGAGCAGCAGCAAGGAGAAACCAACAGAGUACCACCUCUCCUGGGUACAGGCAGUUUCCCACGAGGUCUUUCUGAUUAUCAAAGAAAGGCUGCCUGGCCCAGGCCCUGCAUCUCCACAAAGCCUUGAGAUUUCCAUGCAGGACGCCCUGCUAACUCCACGUGGCUCGAAUCUGCAGCCGUAAACACACAACUCGACAUACUGAAGAGCGAGGUAGCUAAAAUCCUUUGAGCUCUUUAAGGUCCUGUCUUCUGUGGCUUAUUGUGGUAGCCAGGGUUACUGAGGAUGGUUUGUUUGAACUGCUGUGAGUCAGUCUAGAGCUCUGACAACAUUAGAUUAUGUUGAGGUUGAAAUAAAUGUUUAUAGUUCUUCCAUCA